This 392-nucleotide ribosomal RNA is filed under the name Vannella anglica. RNAcentral describes it as "bacterial SSU rRNA". It matches the Rfam family "Eukaryotic small subunit ribosomal RNA", at positions 1278 to 1671 of the family's 1831-position model. The record is from RNAcentral. Lineage: Eukaryota; Discosea; Flabellinia; Vannellidae.
UGGUGCAUGGCCGUUCUUAGUUGGUGGAGUGAUUUGUCUGGUUAAUUCCGAUAACGAACGAGACCUUUACCAUACUAAAUAGUUUGAUCUAUUCUUAUUGUAUAGAUUUAUUUUUAAACUUCUUAGAGGGACUAUUGGUUUCUAAACCAAAGGAAGUAAAGGCGAUAACAGGUCUGUGAUGCCCUUAGAUGUUCUGGGCUGCACGCGCGCUACAAUGAUAAUCUCAACGAGUAUUUAUUUUAUUAUAUUGCUUUAUUGGAAAAUAUGGCUAAUCUUAAACGAUUAUCGUGCUUGGGAUAGAUGAUUGCAAUUAUUUAUCUUGAACGAGGAAUUCCUAGUAAUCGUAUAUCAUCAGUGUGCGAUGAUUACGUCCCUGCCCCUUGUACACACCG